Molecule: transfer RNA, 69 nt
Filed under: Thylogale billardierii (red-bellied pademelon)
Lineage: Eukaryota; Metazoa; Chordata; Mammalia; Diprotodontia; Macropodidae
Description: partial tRNA-Phe
Rfam family: tRNA
About the family: Transfer RNA (tRNA) molecules are approximately 80 nucleotides in length. Their secondary structure includes four short double-helical elements and three loops (D, anti-codon, and T loops).
Source: RNAcentral
GUUGAUGUAGCUUAACCUAAAGCAAAGCACUGAAAAUGCUUAGAUGGAUCCUAACAAAUCCCAUAAACA